CCCUUAGAUGUUCUGGGCCGCACGCGCGCUACACUGAUGCAUUCAACGAGUCUAAAACCUGGUCUGAUAGGGCUGGGUAAUCUUUUGAAAGUGCAUCGUGAUUGGGAUAGAUGAUUGCAAUUCUUCAUCUUCAACGAGGAAUGCCUAGUAAACGCAAGUCAUCAGCUUGCAUUGAUUACGUCCCUGCCCUUUGUACACACCGCCCGUCGCUCCUACCGAUUGAAUGAUCCGAUGAAUACCAUGGAUUGAGAGUACGAAUGGGUUCGCUCAUUUCUGCUGCUCGAGAAGUGGAGUAAAUCUUAUCAUUUAGAGGAAGGAGGAGUCGUAACA
Molecule: ribosomal RNA, 330 nt
Filed under: uncultured eukaryote
Lineage: Eukaryota
Description: partial 18S ribosomal RNA
Rfam family: Eukaryotic small subunit ribosomal RNA
Source: RNAcentral